This 526-nucleotide long non-coding RNA is filed under the name Coffea arabica (coffee). RNAcentral's name for it is "long non-coding RNA (CARA_LNC004377)". Lineage: Eukaryota; Viridiplantae; Streptophyta; Magnoliopsida; Gentianales; Rubiaceae. The record is from RNAcentral.
GGGUAUUGGGGGAAAUUUCCCUUCAAAGGUUGAGUGGUGCCACUCACAUUAAUUUGUGAAGCCCAAUAACGAUCCUUUGAAGAAGUCACGAAUAAUGCGAGUGGGAUGCAAAUGAAGGGAAUGCAUGUAUGCAAUGUGAAGGCAUGAGUUUGAAAAAGUAAUAAAAAACAAAGAUGCAUAAGUGAAAAUGUGCACGUGAGUGGGCAAGGUAUGGUAUGUGCAAUGGUAAUAUGAAGUGCAUGUGUGCAAGUGAUGAUAAAAAGUGUUAGUGUGCAAGUGAAGGGAUAAAGAGAUGCACGUGUGCAAAUGAAGAAACAUAAAGGUGUACGUGUGCAAAAUGGGAGGAAAAAUGAAAGUGUGAUGAGGGUAUAAAAUGGUGGAGUGGAUGCAUGAACCUAGGGAAUGUAUGCAUAUUGGGUACGGGGAGACCUAAAUCGUGACUCAAUUUGCCCUUUUGUAGAGGGAAUACAAGCGUGCUAAGGCUUAGAAAAAGCCACACUCGUCUAUAUUCCAUAUUUAAGGGGAC